AUUGAACGCUGGCGGCAGGCCUAACACAUGCAAGUCGAGCGGAUGACGGGAGCUUGCUCCUUGAUUCAGCGGCGGACGGGUGAGUAAUGCCUAGGAAUCUGCCUGGUAGUGGGGGACAACGUUUCGAUAGGAACGCUAAUACCGCAUACGUCCUACGGGAGAAAGCAGGGGACCUCCGGGCCUUGCGCUAUCAGAUGAGCCUAGGUCGGAUUAGCUAGUUGGUGGGGUAAUGGCUCACCAAGGCGACGAUCCGUAACUGGUCUGAGAGGAUGAUCAGUCACACUGGAACUGAGAUACGGUCCAGACUCCUACGGGAGGCAGCAGUGGGGAAUAUUGGACAAUGGGCGAAAGCCUGAUCCAGCCAUGCCGCGUGUGUGAAGAAGGUCUUCGGAUUGUAAAGCACUUUAAGUUGGGAGGAAGGGUUGUAGAUUAAUACUCUGCAAUUUUGACGUUACCGACAGAAUAAGCACCGGCUAACUCUGUGCCAGCCGCCGCUGUAA
RNAcentral lists this ribosomal RNA (500 nucleotides) under uncultured bacterium. Its description in RNAcentral is "partial 16S ribosomal RNA". It matches the Rfam family "Bacterial small subunit ribosomal RNA", at positions 30 to 523 of the family's 1533-position model. The record is from RNAcentral.